Molecule: long non-coding RNA, 384 nt
Organism: Capra hircus (goat)
Lineage: Eukaryota; Metazoa; Chordata; Mammalia; Artiodactyla; Bovidae
Exons: 3
Source: RefSeq, a predicted model, not a curated record
AAGACCCCUCCCAACCCUGGACACUGGAUAAGCCCAUCACACCCAUAACCCACCUGAAGCCAUUCCACAGCCCUGUGGCCUCUUCCUACGCCCCUCGCUCUGUCACCAAGUCAGCUGCCCUGGGCUCUGGACCCUCGCACAGGGCAAGCUCCUCGAGAGCGGGAACAAGGCCAUUUGAGUGACCGUCUAUUCCUCGAGCCUGGCAUGCAGUGUCUGCUGAAUCAAUGGAGGACCAGGUCUGGGGACCUGCAGACCCGGAUAAGAGCUGGCAGGACAAACCCCGGACCUCACACCCAGCGAUGGCGGGAGCUCACGGCCCCAGCCCACCCUGCAGCACCCCGUGCACAUGCUCCCGUCUGGCCGCGAGCCCCUGGCCUGGGCUGG